CAAGGCUUGGCACAGACGCCACCCUAACAUGAAGUUACUCAGCUUCCCCAGCUGGAGGUAGUCUGUCUUCCCAAGAUAGAGCUUCAUGAAGAAAAUUUUGAGAUUACUACACUACGGAUUGAUGUCACCACUGAUGGAAGACAUGCUGAGGUAGAAUUUACAACUGACUGGCAGAAAGAUGCGGAACGCAGAGAUCUCACUAUAAAUUCUAUGUUUUUAGGUUUUGAUGGCACUUUAUUUGACUACUUUAAUGGUUAUGAAGAUUUAAAAAAUAAGAAAGUUAGAUUUGUUGGACAUGCUAAACAGAGAAUACAAGAGGAUUAUCUUAGAAUUUUAAGAUACUUCAGGUUUUAUGGGAGAAUUGUAGACAAACCUGGUGACCAUGAUCCUGAGACUUUGGAAGCAAUUGCAGAAAAUGCAAAAGGC
This 426-nucleotide long non-coding RNA is filed under the name Homo sapiens (human). RNAcentral describes it as "HSALNT0050267". Lineage: Eukaryota; Metazoa; Chordata; Mammalia; Primates; Hominidae. The record is from RNAcentral.